AGUCGAGGGGCAGCGGGUAGAUGAGCUUGCUCAUUUAUGCCGGCGACCGGCGCACGGGUGAGUAACACGUAUGCAACCUGCCCGUCUCAGGGGGAUAAUCGUCGGAAACGGCGUCUAAUACCCCGUAUGAAGCCGGACGGCAUCGUCUGGUUUUGAAAGAAUAUCGGAGACGGAUGGGCAUGCGGCGCAUUAGCUAGUUGGCGGGGUAACGGCCCACCAAGGCGACGAUGCGUAGGGGUUCUGAGAGGAAGGUCCCCCACACUGGUACUGAGACACGGACCAGACUCCUACGGGAGGCAGCAGUGAGGAAUAUUGGUCAAUGGGCGAGAGCCUGAACCAGCCAAGUCGCGUGAGGGAGUACUGCCCUAUGGGUUGUAAACCUCUUUUGUCGGGGAGCAAAAGCCGGACGUGUCCGGCUGUGAGAGUACCCGAAGAAAAAGCAUCGGCUAACUCCGUGCCAGCAGCCGCGGUAAUACGGAGGAUGCGAGCGUUAUCCGGAUUUAUUGGGUUUAAAGGGUGCGCAGGCGGAUUUUUAAGUCAGCGGUCAAAUCGUGGGGCUCAACCCCAUCCAGCCGUUGAAACUGGGGAUCUAGAGUGUGCGAGAGGUAUGCGGAAUGCGUGGUGUAGCGGUGAAAUGCAUAGAUAUCACGCAGAACCCCGAUUGCGAAGGCAGCAUACCGGUGCACAACUGACGCUCAGGCACGAAAGCGUGGGUAUCGAACAGGAUUAGAUACCCUGGUAGUCCACGCAGUAAACGAUGAAUGCUACCUGUUUGGCCAGAUUGAAGGCUGAGCGGGACAGCGAAAGCGUUAAGCA
Molecule: ribosomal RNA, 816 nt
Filed under: uncultured bacterium
Lineage: Bacteria
Description: bacterial SSU rRNA
Rfam family: Bacterial small subunit ribosomal RNA
Source: RNAcentral